UACGUAGGGUGCAAGCGUUGCCCGGAUUUAUUGGGCGUAAAGGGCGCGCAGGCGGCUACGCACGUCCGUUGUGAAAUCGCUCGGCUCAACUGAGCGGGGUCGGCGGAUACGGCGUAGCUGGAGCAAGCUAGGGGGCAAUGGAAUUCCCGGUGUAGUGGUGGAAUGCGUAGAUAUCGGGAGGAACACCAGUGGCGAAGGCGGUUGCCUGGAGCUUUGCUAACGCUGAGGCGCGAAAGCGUGGGGAGCGAUCCGG
This 253-nucleotide ribosomal RNA is filed under the name uncultured bacterium. RNAcentral's name for it is "partial 16S ribosomal RNA". It matches the Rfam family "Bacterial small subunit ribosomal RNA", at positions 524 to 776 of the family's 1533-position model. The record is from RNAcentral.